Molecule: ribosomal RNA, 301 nt
Filed under: uncultured bacterium
Lineage: Bacteria
Description: partial 16S ribosomal RNA
Rfam family: Bacterial small subunit ribosomal RNA
Source: RNAcentral
CAGCAGCCACGGGAAUACGUAGGGGGCAAGCGUUAUCCGGAAUUACUGGGCGUAAAGGGUGCGUAGGCGGCUAGUUAAGUCGAGGUUAAAAGGCAGUAGCUCAACUAUUGUUGGGCCUUGAAACUAAUUAGCUUGAGUAUAGGAGAGGAAAGUGGAAUUCCCGGUGUAGCGGUGAAAUGCGUAGAUAUCGGGAGGAAUACCGGUGGCGAAGGCGACUUUCUGGACUAUAACUGACGCUGAGGAGCGAAAGCGUGGGGAGCGAACAGGAUUAGAUACCCCUGUAGUCCCUGUCUCUUAUACA